GUAGGGAAUCUUCCACAAUGGACGAAAGUCUGAUGGAGCAACGCCGCGUGAGCGAAGAAGGUUUUCGGAUCGUAAAGCUCUGUUGUGAGGGAAGAACAAGUACAGGAGUAACUGUCUGUACCUUGACGGUACCUCAUUAGAAAGCCACGGCUAACUACGUGCCAGCAGCCGCGGUAAUACGUAGGUGGCAAGCGUUGUCCGGAAUUAUUGGGCGUAAAGCGCGCGCAGGCGGCCUUUUAAGUCUGAUGUGAAAGCCCACGGCUUAACCGUGGAAGGUCAUUGGAAACUGGAAGGCUUGAGUACAGAAGAGGAAAGCGGAAUUCCACGUGUAGCGGUGAAAUGCGUAGAGAUGUGGAGGAACACCAGUGGCGAAGGCGGCUUUCUGGUCUGUAACUGACGCUGAGGCGCGAAAGCGUGGGGAGCAAACAGGA
This 431-nucleotide ribosomal RNA is filed under the name uncultured bacterium. RNAcentral describes it as "bacterial SSU rRNA". It matches the Rfam family "Bacterial small subunit ribosomal RNA", at positions 354 to 777 of the family's 1533-position model. The record is from RNAcentral.